GAUGAACGCUGGCGGCGUGCCUAAUACAUGCAAGUCGAGCGAACAGACGAGGAGCUUGCUCCUCUAACGUUAGCGGCGGACGGGUGAGUAACACGUGGAUAACCUACCUAUAAGACUGGGAUAACUUCGGGAAACCGGAGCUAAUACCGGAUAAUAUAUUGAACCGCAUGGUUCAAUAGUGAAAGACGGUUUUGCUGUCACUUAUAGAUGGAUCCGCGCCGCAUUAGCUAGUUGGUAAGGUAACAGCUUACCAAGGCAACGAUGCGUAGCCGACCUGAGAGGGUGAUCGGCCACACUGGAACUGAGACACGGUCCAGACUCCUACGGGAGGCAGCAGUGGGAAUCUUCCGCAAUGGGCGAAAGCCUGACGGAGCAACGCCGCGUGAGUGAUGAAGGUCUUCGGAUCGUAAAACUCUGUUAUUAGGGAAGAACAAAUGUGUAAGUAACUAUGCACGUCUUGACGGUACCUAAUCAGAAAGCCACGGCUAACUACGUG
This 496-nucleotide ribosomal RNA is filed under the name uncultured bacterium. Its description in RNAcentral is "partial 16S ribosomal RNA". It matches the Rfam family "Bacterial small subunit ribosomal RNA", at positions 28 to 507 of the family's 1533-position model. The record is from RNAcentral.